Molecule: non-coding RNA, 112 nt
Organism: Acanthosepion pharaonis
Lineage: Eukaryota; Metazoa; Mollusca; Cephalopoda; Sepiida; Sepiidae
Source: the annotation of a GenBank genome assembly
UUACGGCCAUAUCAAAAAGAAAUGUCAGUUCUCGGACGAGCACCGGUUAAGCAACAUCGAGCCUGGUCAGUACCUAGAUGGGUGACCGCUCGGGAAUACCAGGUGCUGUAUG